RNAcentral lists this ribosomal RNA (1419 nucleotides) under Bacillus tequilensis. RNAcentral describes it as "bacterial SSU rRNA". It matches the Rfam family "Bacterial small subunit ribosomal RNA". The record is from RNAcentral. Lineage: Bacteria; Bacillati; Bacillota; Bacilli; Caryophanales; Bacillaceae.
GUCGAGCGGACAGAUGGGAGCUUGCUCCCUGAUGUUAGCGGCGGACGGGUGAGUAACACGUGGGUAACCUGCCUGUAAGACUGGGAUAACUCCGGGAAACCGGGGCUAAUACCGGAUGGUUGUUUGAACCGCAUGGUUCAAACAUAAAAGGUGGCUUCGGCUACCACUUACAGAUGGACCCGCGGCGCAUUAGCUAGUUGGUGAGGUAACGGCUCACCAAGGCAACGAUGCGUAGCCGACCUGAGAGGGUGAUCGGCCACACUGGGACUGAGACACGGCCCAGACUCCUACGGGAGGCAGCAGUAGGGAAUCUUCCGCAAUGGACGAAAGUCUGACGGAGCAACGCCGCGUGAGUGAUGAAGGUUUUCGGAUCGUAAAGCUCUGUUGUUAGGGAAGAACAAGUACCGUUCGAAUAGGGCGGUACCUUGACGGUACCUAACCAGAAAGCCACGGCUAACUACGUGCCAGCAGCCGCGGUAAUACGUAGGUGGCAAGCGUUGUCCGGAAUUAUUGGGCGUAAAGGGCUCGCAGGCGGUUUCUUAAGUCUGAUGUGAAAGCCCCCGGCUCAACCGGGGAGGGUCAUUGGAAACUGGGGAACUUGAGUGCAGAAGAGGAGAGUGGAAUUCCACGUGUAGCGGUGAAAUGCGUAGAGAUGUGGAGGAACACCAGUGGCGAAGGCGACUCUCUGGUCUGUAACUGACGCUGAGGAGCGAAAGCGUGGGGAGCGAACAGGAUUAGAUACCCUGGUAGUCCACGCCGUAAACGAUGAGUGCUAAGUGUUAGGGGGUUUCCGCCCCUUAGUGCUGCAGCUAACGCAUUAAGCACUCCGCCUGGGGAGUACGGUCGCAAGACUGAAACUCAAAGGAAUUGACGGGGGCCCGCACAAGCGGUGGAGCAUGUGGUUUAAUUUGAAGCAACGCGAAGAACCUUACCAGGUCUUGACAUCCUCUGACAAUCCUAGAGAUAGGACGUCCCCUUCGGGGGCAGAGUGACAGGUGGUGCAUGGUUGUCGUCAGCUCGUGUCGUGAGAUGUUGGGUUAAGUCCCGCAACGAGCGCAACCCUUGAUCUUAGUUGCCAGCAUUCAGUUGGGCACUCUAAGGUGACUGCCGGUGACAAACCGGAGGAAGGUGGGGAUGACGUCAAAUCAUCAUGCCCCUUAUGACCUGGGCUACACACGUGCUACAAUGGACAGAACAAAGGGCAGCGAAACCGCGAGGUUAAGCCAAUCCCACAAAUCUGUUCUCAGUUCGGAUCGCAGUCUGCAACUCGACUGCGUGAAGCUGGAAUCGCUAGUAAUCGCGGAUCAGCAUGCCGCGGUGAAUACGUUCCCGGGCCUUGUACACACCGCCCGUCACACCACGAGAGUUUGUAACACCCGAAGUCGGUGAGGUAACCUUUUAGGAGCCAGCCGCCGAAGG